Molecule: transfer RNA, 69 nt
Filed under: Marmota marmota marmota (Alpine marmot)
Lineage: Eukaryota; Metazoa; Chordata; Mammalia; Rodentia; Sciuridae
Also listed under: 2 other names
Rfam family: tRNA
About the family: Transfer RNA (tRNA) molecules are approximately 80 nucleotides in length. Their secondary structure includes four short double-helical elements and three loops (D, anti-codon, and T loops).
Source: Rfam by way of RNAcentral
GGGCAUGUAGCUCAGUGGUAGAGUGCUUGCCUAGCAUGCAUGAAGCCCUGGGUUCAAUUCCUAGUACCA